Molecule: long non-coding RNA, 353 nt
Organism: Lolium rigidum
Lineage: Eukaryota; Viridiplantae; Streptophyta; Magnoliopsida; Poales; Poaceae
Exons: 3
Source: RefSeq, a predicted model, not a curated record
GUUAAAUCGUUUGCUGCUUUUCAAAUUUUAGAAUGACAGUUUCACUUUCAUUUUGUUGUGAGCGACUGAUAUAAGAAACGUAUUGUGGCAUCAAGAGUUGGUUCUGCAGCAUAAUGUACUCGUACUAGCCAGUGCCAAGGUCUGCAGCUUAAUUUAUGCAAUCAAGAAGCUGAAACAACAAUCUGAAGAGACGUGCUCCAUUAUAUGGACAUUUCCCUGGUGCGCAAUUGCUUGUUAAGACUUUGGAAGCAACACAACAGAAGUCUGCAAGGCAAAUCUACUGUAAUGGUGAUGGGGAGCUGAUGUGCCAUUUCCUCCAUGCUCAAGCCUAUAUGCUGAUACUGAGCUAGUGA